This 253-nucleotide ribosomal RNA is filed under the name uncultured bacterium. Its description in RNAcentral is "partial 16S ribosomal RNA". It matches the Rfam family "Bacterial small subunit ribosomal RNA", at positions 524 to 776 of the family's 1533-position model. The record is from RNAcentral.
UACGAAGGGGGCUAGCGUUGCUCGGAAUCACUGGGCGUAAAGGGCGUGUAGGCGGGUAGGUAAGUCGGGCGUGAAAUCCCUAGGCUCAACCUAGGAACUGCACUCGAAACUGUUUAUCUUGAGUGCCGGAGAGGAAAGCGGAAUUCCUGGUGUAGAGGUGAAAUUCGUAGAUAUCAGGAGGAACACCAGUGGCGAAGGCGGCUUUCUGGACGGUAACUGACGCUGAGACGCGAAAGCGUGGGGAGCAAACAGG